Molecule: non-coding RNA, 73 nt
Organism: Pangasianodon gigas (Mekong giant catfish)
Lineage: Eukaryota; Metazoa; Chordata; Actinopteri; Siluriformes; Pangasiidae
Source: the annotation of a GenBank genome assembly
ACUUAACAUUUCACGAUUGUGACUUUACGUCUCGUAACCACGACUUAACGUUUCACAAUUGUGACUUCACCUC